Molecule: non-coding RNA, 298 nt
Organism: Gorilla gorilla gorilla (western lowland gorilla)
Lineage: Eukaryota; Metazoa; Chordata; Mammalia; Primates; Hominidae
Rfam family: Metazoan signal recognition particle RNA
About the family: The signal recognition particle (SRP) is a universally conserved ribonucleoprotein. It is involved in the co-translational targeting of proteins to membranes. The eukaryotic SRP consists of a 300-nucleotide 7S RNA and six proteins: SRPs 72, 68, 54, 19, 14, and 9.
Source: Rfam
GCCAGGCGUGGUGAUGUGUGCCUAUAGUCCCAGCUACUCGGGAAGCUGAGGUAAGAGGACCGCCUGAGCCCAGGAGUUUUGGGCUGUAGUGGGCUGUGCUAACCAGGUAUCUGCACGAAGUUUGGCAGCAACAUGGUGACCUUCUAGGAGUGGGGAACCACCAGCUUGCUAAGGAGGGGUGAACCGACCCAAGUAGGAAAGGGAGCAGGUCAAAACUCCCAUGCCAAUGAGUAAUGGGAUUGUGCCUAUGAAUAUUCACUGCACUGCAGCCUGGCAACGUAAUAAGACCCCGUCUCUA